This 253-nucleotide ribosomal RNA is filed under the name uncultured bacterium. RNAcentral describes it as "partial 16S ribosomal RNA". It matches the Rfam family "Bacterial small subunit ribosomal RNA", at positions 524 to 776 of the family's 1533-position model. The record is from RNAcentral.
UACGAAGGGGGCUAGCGUUGCUCGGAAUCACUGGGCGUAAAGCGCACGUAGGCGGCUUUUUAAGUCAGGGGUGAAAUCCCGGAGCUCAACUCCGGAACUGCCUUUGAUACUGGCAAUCUAGAGACUGGAAGAGGUUAGUGGAAUUCCCAGUGUAGAGGUGAAAUUCGUAGAUAUUGGGAAGAACACCAGUGGCGAAGGCGGCUAACUGGUCCAGUACUGACGCUGAAGUGCGAAAGCGUGGGGAGCAAACAGG